Molecule: long non-coding RNA, 5395 nt
Organism: Bombus terrestris (buff-tailed bumblebee)
Lineage: Eukaryota; Metazoa; Arthropoda; Insecta; Hymenoptera; Apidae
Exons: 3
Source: RefSeq, a predicted model, not a curated record
CCACCACCCAAAGCGUCGCCAAGACCUCGUAUAGGGAACCUACAGCCUAGCCACUAUACCUCACUACACUUCUUUCCAAUCGUUCCUGUAUCUUCAAGUAUCAGUUAUAAUAGUAGAUUUGAUCAAAACUAUUGGAAUUAUGUAUCGAAUACAUAGAUUCUCUUAGUUGCGAGAUUUCGUUACUAGCCUGUCCCUUUGUUACCAGUUAAGACAUCGUACAAGGGCGUCUAGGCGAUUGCCAUCAAGGUAUCACGCUUGUUUCCACAAAUUCCUACAUCUACAAAAUAACAAUUUUAGUACGUAGAUUUGUGCUAACGAUGAUCAGAAUCGAAAGUUAGAAUUCUCAGAUUAUUUAAUUAUAGAGUUCUGUAGCAGUCAAAAGCCUGUGCCAAGGCUUGCAUCUAGGAGCAAUUAUCAGGAAAUCUCGUAAAUAAUUAAAUUCACGCUUGCACAUUCUAUUUAUCCCGAUUGUUAUAUAGCACACAGUAAGCGUUUUUACGGAGCAGAUAACACAUCGAUUCGAUUCUGAUGCAAUCCCUAUAUCCUUACGACUCCGCCUAUGCAUUAUAGAUUAUGCUAUCGACCAUGAGCUUAAGGUUCAUAUAUUACGUAUUUUUCGCCGCAAAAAUUCCAGCAUAUUUAAAGCGGUCGAAAAUCCUGUCGGCCACGGUUGUACAAAUUUUCCUACGGCCAAAUUGCUGGAAAACUCGCAAGGGUGAGGAAGGAGCGUGACCGUCGCUUCGCGGAGCCCCGCAACCCCUCCACCGCGACCAACCACCACUCCCCGUGGCACCGUUCGAACCCCUAGCCUAGAGAUGCCCGUUUCUACCUCCAAACACCACAGCGCACGCUCCGACGUCGCCUCAGUGACUCUCAACUACCGUUCACCGUGUCUGCGAUAUUCUCUUCCGUCUGCACGUCGCUCCCUGGGGAAAUUUUUCGGCGAGAAGUGUGCCGUGACAGAGGGUUAAUUGGGCAAGACCAAGAAAUACUGGCCUCGCCGAGUCGAUCGUGCUUCCAUGGCGCUGCGAACGGGAUUACCGUGUCGCGAUCUAUGAUAGACGAUGGUUUAAUGGCUCUGGGGACGCUUCUUCGUGAACUGGGACAAUCCUAGGUGAAUUAAGAAUUUAGUGUUUUGCGGUGGAAUCGAAGGAGGAGGAUUGUUAGAGUACGUUCUAGAAUUUUACAUUUGACAUGGUGUUGCUGUUUGUGAACGAUAAUAUCAGGGCGAAGAUUGGUAGGAGGAUUGUCGAAGAGGAUUAAUGUAUAGGAUUUUACUUUUUUAUGCAGUGCAUUGUUGUUCGUAAGAGAAAUUUAAGGGAAGUGGGACGAUAUCGGAUGAGUUAAAAAUUUACUGUUUAGUGUUUGAGACGGUGAAAUUAUUUAUUAUACAUGUAUUAUUAAUAAAAGUAUCAUUGGUAUUUUGUACAUUAAAGAAUAAGAAAGAAGAUUCUAUCAUAGGGAUUGAUGUUUGUUAAAGGAAAUUCGAUUCGAUCCAGCAGACAAUACAGCAGGCUCCUCAGUUUCCGCAAGUGGGACAGCUAUUAUUUCCAGUAUCUAUCUUACUUUUUACAAAAAAAAAAAGACAUCGUUGCUUCUUAUACGGUGAAGAAGGAAAGUCGUUUGUCAAAGAAAAUCCAAUUUAAUCCAAACGGCAGAACAGAAAGAUCUUAAAUUUUCCAAAAGUGGAUCUACUUACAACUUACAUUUUAGUUUCUACAAGAAACGUCGUUUUACAUUAUUUAAUAAAUAGAAAUAAUCUAUCUAAUAAAUAGAAAAAUAAAUAUACAUAAAGAAAAAAAAAGAAAAAGAACGAGAUCGGUGUUCAUCAAAGAAAAUCUGCUGUACGAGCGAUCCACGAAACAGUAGAGAAGCUUCCUAAAUUUCCGGAAGUAGGACACCUACAUACAUUUCUAACCUCCAUUCUAGUCUUUCCUCUUUCAACGAACAUUGCUUAUUUAUAAAUCAUAGAAUAAACGGCGAAGGAAAGGAUUCGAUAAAGAAAAUCCGAUUAGUAUCAAGAGACCAGUAAAGAAGGUUCGUAAAAUUUUUAGACGACAAAAGGAAAGACUGAGCACGAAUGAGAACCACUGAAACGCGAUCCGUGCUACUGGGCUACGCGCCACACGGCGCUUUGGCCGACCGACCGACUCUACUCGCACACGAUCCUCCUUCUCCCUCCGCCGUUAUCCGGCUCGCACUCUCUGUCUCUCUUUAUCUGUCUCAUUUUCUACGUCUCUCUACGCUGUACCGGUUCCCUGCCUCGCUACGCCAUGCAAAUCUUCCGUCUUGCACGUUAUGAGGAACGAGCCCUGUCUCUUCUUCCGAGUUUAACCGGAGACCACGCCGCGAUCCAAGGGAUCCCGUUUCCUGUUCGUUCUUCGGGAUGAUCGAGCGGCCUGCAUUAUUCUAUGCCUUGCAUUACGGCCACGAGCUUCUAAUCAUCAGUUUUCAUCCACCAUUUCCACCAUGAAAUUUAGAAUCGGAAAAUCCGAGAAAAUUUGAAAGAGAAAGCGAUCCUGAAAUAUUUCGGCGAGAAAGUUAGGGACAAAUAACAUUGAACAUUUUAGAAAUUUGAAAGAGGAAGCCAGGCAGAUAAGAUUGAUAAUUCUUUAGAAUUUGGAUAAAAAUGCCAGACAAAUAAGGAAGGAAAACGAGGAAGCUAGAAAAGUAAAAUUGAAAAAUUGAAAAUUUUGAAGGAUAAGCGGGACAAAUGAAGUUGGGAAUUCUUGAAAAUUUGGGAGAAGGAGAUACAUAUAUAAAAUUGAAAAUCGUGUGAAAUGUCGGAAGAAAGUCAGAGAAAUAAAAUCGAAAGUGUUUGAAAAUUUGUAAAAACGCGACAAACAAAAUUUAAUAGAAAGCAUGUUAUGAAAGUUAAAAGGAAAAAGGAUAAUUCCUGAGAAGCUUAGAACAUGAGUGAACGCUUUGUUAGGAUGAUUUGAUACGAGUGGAAAUUUUCCAAAGCAAUUUGCGAACAUCCUCGCUGUAUUGCCUUCUAUUGCUCCUGUUUUCAUUAGCCUGGUCAGCAGAAGGUUUGUAAAGAUAUCGUUGAAAGAGAAGGAAUAAAGGCAGAGACGAGACACAGGGGCUGCAGACAGAUAACCACUUGACGACUCGAAUGCAACGGGGGAUGAACGACGGAGGAAAAAAGGAGAGAACAAGCGUCGUAAGCCUUUCGAUAGCUACGACUCGUCGUCCGUAGUCACAGAUCGAUACUUCAAACUGGUCUUGCAUUUCCAGAAGAAGAAUAAGAGAAACUGUUGUUCCACUUUGUUACCAUUUUACUUGUCACUUUUGUAAACUAAGAUCACGGUACGAUAUCUACGAGUUCAACAGAGCACCGGCAAGGCAAACUCUGAAGCUAUCCGAAAAUUACCAUUCAACCAGCAGAUUGACUCCAAGGGGCCACAUCUUUAACGGAUUACCGGAAAUUAAAAUUCCAAAUUCAACUGCUCUCGAAAAACCAUUCGCAUGUGUAUGUUAGGCUGCUUAAAAUUCGCAACACUGUGUGACAUUGUAGAAUGUAACUAUUGUAUAAUAUGAUGAUUAUACUUUUAUGAGGCUCGUCCUGCGCGUAAUAUGAUUUAUUCUGUUAUGGUAGGUACGUUAGAUGAAAAUAAACAAAUUAUGUGUUAACACUAAAUGAACAGCGUAUUUUUUUUUUCAUAUUUUCUGCGAUCGAAGAAUUUCAUAGAAAAAUGGUAGAACUUUUUGCGGAAACGAGAUAAGUUCGGAAAACGCUAUGUAAUAUUUGUAUCUAUGCAAAAGAUCUUGCUACGAGUUUUUUUUUUUUUUUUAAUUCUUUUAAAUAGUUAUAUCAUCAACUAUUUAUCAACCACGUGGAAGAAUAAAUUAUCGUCUGUUAUAUAUAGCCAUCGAAUAUUAACAAAAUGUAUAACAAAUGUUACGGCCUCGUUAUACGACCCAUGAAUGAGCAGAAUAUUCAUUUGAUGAUAAAAGUUGUUGAAAACGUCAAAUUAGCAUUUGAAACCAGUUACGUAAAUGUUAGAUUAGUUGAGUAGGUGAAAUUCGAAACUGGUUAUUUUUCUCCAGAAAAUGAACCGAGAAAAGAGAGAGACAGAGAGAGGAAGUUAGGAAAAUGACACCGACAAUAAUGUUUUAAGAGAUAUGUAUUACUGAAAUUAUUUUGCGAUAAACAGCCCUAGAGAACUAGCGUCUGGAAUAAAAGCGAGUUAUUCUACCGUUGUUCAACUUGACUGGAAUGAGAAAAGCAAAGAAGACGGACAAACUGCUUUCUUUAAACAGUUAAAUGAUAUACAGGAGCUCACAUGUAAACGACUAACCUCGCUACAUCAAUGAAAUGAAUAGGAUUCAUUCUCGAUAUAUAUAUAUAUAUUUAAAGAUGCAUAAGUCUGUAUUAAUUUCAGUUACAGAACAACUCUGUAUAUUCGUGAAUAUCGAAUAUGUUCUGUACAUUCUUGCACAUUUAGAAAUGUGCGAGAUAAAUCAUCAGGCGCUCUAUCGAUAGAUCAAUCGAGUCUCUCAGGAGCCAAACAGAUCAAACUUCGCUUUUUGCCCUAAUUGAUUUCCUAACUUGGUUAUAUAAAUGGGCGAUUAACGUUCCGACCCUCGAAAAACAAAUUGCAUGCACGAUCAUGUUUAUUACAAAAAGAUAAUGUAAAUAACAAGAAACUCCGAGGGAAAUAUAAAAAGAAAGAGUAUUUGCAAUAUCAUCGUAUUUUUCUGAUCUAAUAUCGUUAAUGUGGUUUCCGAGCAACUCGUUUAUUUAUCAAUUAUUAUUUCUCUUGCCAAAGGAACGAGUAGUAUCGAUCAACUGUAAACUUUUUUUUUACAAAGAAAAAUGUUAAACAUCGUGCAACAACGUCAUUCAUCGCCUUAUCGAGAAAUUAGAUAUAGAAAGCAAGCGAAGCAACGUAAUAAAAUGGAUGCAUGAAAGAAUUCGAGAAACAAAAGGAAAAGGUGGAAGAAACGAAUGCAGGAAACGAUUACGCUACUAUAGAAAAAGAGUGAUCUGCCUGCCCACAGUUAAUUUUUCUGAACGGUGCACGUGUGAGUCGAUGGCGACGCGUACCGUAGCCUCGUCCAUGCACGUGACUAUCAGCUCGUGGUACGGCCACGUACGAGCAACAUCGUGAAUAUGCGAGUGUGCGUAAUCUCAGGACGCAACGUGUACGAGAAUUCCUCCCGUACCACGCACCAUUGCUUCUGUGAACGAGCACACGUUGUCAGCUUGUUCACUUGUCUACAGAACCAUGAAGUUAGGGUAGUAGUUUAGGGCUUCCGAAAUUCUCAUCAGCUGAGACAGACAAAUGGUAACGAUACUGCGUUGUAACAUAGGCUAGGUUUCCAAAAUUCUUAUGAACUGAGUCUGGAAAGUGAUAAUUUAAUGGUAAAUUAGGACUAAUUAGUGCUU